UACGAAGGGGGCUAGCGUUGCUCGGAAUUACUGGGCGUAAAGCGCACGUAGGCGGCUUUCUAAGUCGGGGGUGAAAUCCUGGAGCUCAACUCCAGAACUGCCUUCGAUACUGGAGAGCUUGAGUCCGGGAGAGGUGAGUGGAACUGCGAGUGUAGAGGUGAAAUUCGUAGAUAUUGGGAAGAACACCAGUGGCGAAGGCGGCUAACUGGUCCAGUACUGACGCUGAGGUGCGAAAGCGUGGGGAGCAAACAGG
This 253-nucleotide ribosomal RNA is filed under the name uncultured bacterium. Its description in RNAcentral is "partial 16S ribosomal RNA". It matches the Rfam family "Bacterial small subunit ribosomal RNA", at positions 524 to 776 of the family's 1533-position model. The record is from RNAcentral.